RNAcentral lists this small nuclear RNA (107 nucleotides) under Physeter macrocephalus (sperm whale). Lineage: Eukaryota; Metazoa; Chordata; Mammalia; Artiodactyla; Physeteridae. The record is from RNAcentral.
GUGCUCACUUCGGCAGCACAUAUACUAAAAUUGGAACAAAACAGAGAAGAUUAGCAUUGCCCCUGCGCUAGAAUGACAUGCAAAUUCGUGAAGAGUUCCAUAUUUUU